Molecule: ribosomal RNA, 484 nt
Filed under: uncultured bacterium
Lineage: Bacteria
Description: partial 16S ribosomal RNA
Rfam family: Bacterial small subunit ribosomal RNA
Source: RNAcentral
AUUGAACGCUGGCGGCAGGCCUAACACAUGCAAGUCGAGCGGAUGAAGGGAGCUUGCUCCUGGAUUCAGCGGCGGACGGGUGAGUAAUGCCUAGGAAUCUGCCUGGUAGUGGGGGAUAACGUCCGGAAACGGGCGCUAAUACCGCAUACGUCCUGCGGGAGAAAGUGGGGGAUCUUCGGACCUCACGCUAUCAGAUGAGCCUAGGUCGGAUUAGAUAGUUGGUGGGGUAAAGGCCUACCUAGGCGACGAUCCGUAACUGGUCUGAGAGGAUGAUCAGUCACACUGGAACUGAGACACGGUCCAGACUACUACGGGAGGCAGCAGAGGGGAAUAUUGGACAGUGGGCGGAAGCCUGAUCCAGCCGUGCCGAGUGUGUGGAGAAGGUCUUCGGAUUGUAAAGCACUUUAAGUUGGGAGGAAGGGCAGUAAGUUAAUACCUUGCUGUUUUGACGUUACCAACAGAAUAAGCACCGGCUAACUUCGUG